GAUUAUGGCUCAGAACGAACGCUGGCGGCGCGUCUUAAGCAUGCAAGUCGAACGGCAAGAGGUAGCAAUACCUCCUAGAGUGGCGGACUGGUGAGUAACACGUGGGUGACAUACCCUUCAGAUGGGGAUAGCUAUUAGAAAUAGUAGAUAAUACCGAAUACGAGCACAGGGGUUAGAGAUCUGUGAGGAAAGGAGCUAAGGCUCCGCUGAAGGAAUGGCCUGCGGCCCAUUAGCUAGUUGGUGAGGUAAGAGCCCACCAAGGCGAUGAUGGGUAUCCGGCCUUAGAGGGUGAACGGACACAUUGGGACUGAGAUACGGCCCAGACUCCUACGGGAGGCAGCAGCUAAGAAUAUUCCGCAAUGGACGAAAGUCUGACGGAGCGACGCCGCGUGGAUGAAGAAGGCCGGAAGGUUGUAAAAUCCUUUUGAAACUGAAGAAUAAGCGUUGUAGGGAAUGACAGCGUGGUGACAGUAGGUUUUGAAUAAGCAACGGCUAAUUACGUGCCAGCAGCUGC
Molecule: ribosomal RNA, 514 nt
Filed under: uncultured bacterium
Lineage: Bacteria
Description: bacterial SSU rRNA
Rfam family: Bacterial small subunit ribosomal RNA
Source: RNAcentral